GCGCUAGUGGUGUAGUAGCAGCAUUUACGCCUCCCACGCGUAAGACUCGGGUGCAAAUCCCGGCUAGCGCA
This 71-nucleotide transfer RNA is filed under the name Chlamydomonas reinhardtii. RNAcentral describes it as "tRNA-Gly (CCC) (tRNA-Gly-CCC-1-1, tRNA-Gly-CCC-1-2)". It matches the Rfam family "tRNA". Rfam says of the family: Transfer RNA (tRNA) molecules are approximately 80 nucleotides in length. Their secondary structure includes four short double-helical elements and three loops (D, anti-codon, and T loops). Further hydrogen bonds mediate the characteristic L-shaped molecular structure. tRNAs have two regions of fundamental functional importance: the anti-codon, which is responsible for specific mRNA codon recognition, and the 3' end, to which the tRNAs corresponding amino acid is attached (by aminoacyl-tRNA synthetases). tRNAs cope with the degeneracy of the genetic code in two manners: having more than one tRNA (with a specific anti-codon) for a particular amino acid; and 'wobble' base-pairing, i.e. permitting non-standard base-pairing at the 3rd anti-codon position. Lineage: Eukaryota; Viridiplantae; Chlorophyta; Chlorophyceae; Chlamydomonadales; Chlamydomonadaceae. The record is from Rfam by way of RNAcentral.